AUCCUGGCUCAGGAUGAACGCUAGCGGCAGGCUUACACAUGCAAGUCGAACGGUAACAUAGAAAGCUUGCUCUUUGCUGACGAGUGGCGAACGGGUGCGUAACACGUAUGCAACUUACCCUAUACUGGGGGAUAGCCCGGGGAAACCCUGAUUAAUACUCCAUAAUAUAAUUCAUUCGCAUGUUUGAAUUCUUAAAGCUCCGGCGGUUAAAGAUGGGCAUGCGUGACAUUAGUUUGUUGGUGAGGUAACGGCUCACCAAGACCACGAUGGGUAGGGGGUCUGAGAGGGUGAUCCCCCACACUGGUACUGAGACACGGACCAGACUCCUACGGGAGGCAGCAGUGAGGAAUAUUGGACAAUGGGCGCAAGCCUGAUCCAGCCAUGCCGCGUGCAGGAUGACGGCCCUAUGGGUUGUAAACUGCUUUUAUACGGGAAUAAACCUCUCUACGUGUAGAGAGCUGAAGGUACCGUAAGAAUAAGGACCGGCUAACUCCGUGCCAGCAGCCGCGGUAAUACGGAGGGUCCAAGCGUUAUCCGGAUUCAUUGGGUUUAAAGGGUCCGCAGGCGGGAAAAUAAGUCAGUGGUGAAAGCCCACAGCUCAACUGUGGAACUGCCAUUGAUACUGGUAUUCUUGAGUAUACUUGAAGUAGGCGGAAUAUGACAUGUAGCGGUGAAAUGCAUAGAGAUGUCAUAGAACACCGAUUGCGAAGGCAGCUCACUAAACUAUUACUGACGCUCAGGGACGAAAGCGUGGGGAGCGAACAGGAUUAGAUACCCUGGUAGUCCACGCUGUAAACGAUGAUCACUCGCUGUUGGCGAUACACUGUCAGUGGCCAAGCGAAAGCAUUAAGUGAUCCACCUGGGGAGUACGAUCGCAAGGUUGAAACUCAAAGGAAUUGACGGGGGCCCGCACAAGCGGUGGAGCAUGUGGUUUAAUUCGAUGAUACGCGAGGAACCUUACCUGGGCUUAAAUGUAUUUUGACAGGCUGGGAAACCAGUCCUUCUUCGGACAAUUUACAAGGUGCUGCAUGGUUGUCGUCAGCUCGUGCUGUGAGGUGUCGGGUUAAGUCCCAUAACGAGCGCAACCCCUACCCUUAGUUGCCAGCGGAUAAUGCCGGGGACUCUGAGGGAACUGCCGGUGCAAACCGUGAGGAAGGUGGGGAUGACGUCAAAUCAUCACGGCCCUUACGUCCAGGGCUACACACGUGCUACAAUGGCGGAUACAAAGGGCAGCUACCUGGUGACAGGAUGCGAAUCUCGAAAGUGCAUCUCAGUUCGGAUCGGAGUCUGCAACUCGACUCCGUGAAGUUGGAAUCGCUAGUAAUCGCGCAUCAGCCAUGGCGCGGUGAAUACGUUCCCGGGCCUUGUACACACCGCCCGUCAAGCCAUGGGAGCUGAGGGUGCCUGAAGUCGGGUAACCGCAAGGAGCUGCACUAGGGUAAAAUCAGUAACUGGGGCUAAGUCGU
Molecule: ribosomal RNA, 1466 nt
Filed under: uncultured prokaryote
Description: partial 16S ribosomal RNA
Rfam family: Bacterial small subunit ribosomal RNA
Source: RNAcentral